Molecule: ribosomal RNA, 810 nt
Filed under: Bacillus sp. NCIM 5459
Lineage: Bacteria; Bacillati; Bacillota; Bacilli; Caryophanales; Bacillaceae
Description: bacterial SSU rRNA
Rfam family: Bacterial small subunit ribosomal RNA
Source: RNAcentral
AGCGAACUGAUUAAAAGCUUGCUUCUAUGACGUUAGCGGCGGACGGGUGAGUAACACGUGGGCAACCUGCCUGUAAGACUGGGAUAACUUCGGGAAACCGAAGCUAAUACCGGAUAGGAUCUUCUCCUUCAUGGGAGAUGAUUGAAAGAUGGUUUCGGCUAUCACUUACGGAUGGGCCCGCGGUGCAUUAGCUAGUUGGUGAGGUAACGGCUCACCAAGGCAACGAUGCAUAGCCGACCUGAGAGGGUGAUCGGCCACACUGGGACUGAGACACGGCCCAGACUCCUACGGGAGGCAGCAGUAGGGAAUCUUCCGCAAUGGACGAAAGUCUGACGGAGCAACGCCGCGUGAGUGAUGAAGGCUUUCGGGUCGUAAAACUCUGUUGUUAGGGAAGAACAAGUACGAGAGUAACUGCUCGUACCUUGACGGUACCUAACCAGAAAGCCACGGCUAACUACGUGCCAGCAGCCGCGGUAAUACGUAGGUGGCAAGCGUUAUCCGGAAUUAUUGGGCGUAAAGCGCGCGCAGGCGGUUUCUUAAGUCUGAUGUGAAAGCCCACGGCUCAACCGUGGAGGGUCAUUGGAAACUGGGGAACUUGAGUGCAGAAGAGAAAAGCGGAAUUCCACGUGUAGCGGUGAAAUGCGUAGAGAUGUGGAGGAACACCAGUGGCGAAGGCGGCUUUUUGGUCUGUAACUGACGCUGAGGCGCGAAAGCGUGGGGAGCAAACAGGANUAGAUACCCUGGUAGUCCACGCCGUAAACGAUGAGUGCUAAGUGUUAGAGGGUUUCCGCCCUUUAGUGCUGCAGCUAA